GAGCCCCGGGGCCGGGGGACGCGCAGUGCGCAGGCCUGGCCCACGAAGCGCACCCGGCUCCCGGCGCGCCGCCCGCGGGCUGGCAGGGGACCUUUGUGAGGAAGAGAGACCAGCGAAGAAUCGGUGAAUCCGCCACCAAAACGGUGUUUGUCAACGGUGUGCACUCGCUUCCCUGCCCUUCCUGGCCUCCUGUAGUGGGAGAGAUGGCGAGUGGGCCGAGAGGGUCAUUAGCUCUUACAUAAGAAUGUCAUAGCAGUGGAUUCUGUCAUCCUGCCAAACGCAGACCUCACUGCCAGGGCGGGGGAUCUAGGAGAAUAGGAUUUAUUCUGUGCGGUUCAACAAGUGCUUGUGAGGGCCCUUAGUGUGCGCCAGGCGUUUGGAAACACGCACAAGUAUGAAUCCUGGAGUUUAGAGCCGGAGGUUGGUUGUUUGUUUUUUUCCACCCGAUGUUGCUUAAAUGGAGAAAUCCGUUCAUUCAUGAAAACAUUUAUUGGAAUUUCAGUUGUGGGCCUACUGUGUGCAGGGUGCUGAGGAGAGCACACAUGAGAAUAGUGUUCCGAAUCCUGUACUCCAGAAUCAGCCAACGUCAGAGACAUGGCGUGCCAGAGAUGCAUUUUAUAGCAGGCAGCGUGUGGCAGCUGGUAGGAGUAUGAGGAGUUUUGUCACAGUGACACAAAGCUGGCUUAGGCUCCCUCAAAGUGCAGCAAUUGGGUUCCGAGGUAGCCUGCAACAAGUUGUUUAAUCAUCGUAAUCUGCAAUUCCUUCAUGAGUAACAGCUGGAGAAUCGGAACUCCCGUAUGACAUGGAAUACACUUUUUUGAAUACCUGCUUGACACAUAAUGUUCCACUUCUAAGAAGUGCUAUUCCUCCCUGCCCUACCCUCCACUCCUCAGGGUUACUCCCACCACCUUUCUGUACUGUGUAGCCCUGUUGCCUGGUACAAUUAUUCCUGCUGCAAACUCAGGGGAUCAGAUUCCUCCCUCUGGAUACCUGGGUGAGGCGGGUGGUGACUGAAGAUGUGGCCCUCAAAAUCACAAUCUAGUUGGAAUUUUGAAGCUUCUGUUUCUGAGCAAGAAAAAUCUGUGUUGACUCUUCUGAGCCUCAUUUCCUUAUUUAAAAAAAAAAAAAAGAGUGAGGCCAUGAAAAUAGUAAGAGUACCUACUUGAUGGAGCUGUUAAAAGGAUACAGAUGGUGACCAGGAGAUGAUACCCCCUGAAGUCAUCUUGAGAGCUGUAUUUUGUCAUAGUCACAGGGGAGCCGCAGAAAGCUUCUCUUAAAGAAAAGGAUCGUGAAGGUGUCUGGAGAGACACUUAGGAAAAAGUCAACUGGGUUUCUAAAAAACCUUGUAGGUUCCAUUUCUAGACUGAGUUAAGCUUCACUGGAAGCCUGCCCCACAAUCCUUUACAGUGAGGACAGAAUUAACCAGAAAAAGGAAGCUAAGACUGAGAAGACAAGAAGAUGCUCAGUGAAUAGUACUUGUAUUGUUUUUGUCAGCAUGGAGAUUAUUUAGCUCAGUGGUUGGGGGAUUUUAGCUCAGUGGUUUUGGUGUCUGCCUCGAAAGCGCAAGGACCUGAGUUCGAUCUCCGGUACAAAAAAAAAACAAAACCAUUUCUGAGAUUAUUGAUAAAUUGCACAAAAUAUUGCUGACAUCACCAUUUCUCCAUAGUCCCUUGUAGCAGAGGGAUAGUUAGAGUUGGGCACAUGCAUGAUAAACAGGAUGGAAAAGCAAAAGGCAGCAACAUGUAGGAGUGAACGCAUAGACUUUGGGGUCAUGAAGUUUGGAUUCAGGUUCCAUCUCUGCCACUUGCAAACUGUGUGACCUUGUUCAAGUCUACCUCCAUUUUCUGAGCUCUAAGACAGUGAUAACUGUGGGGCUUAUCUUACUGUGACGCACACAUUUAGACCGGUGUCUGGCACAUGGUAAGGGUUAAGUAAGCAUCCUGUGGUGUCAUCAUCAUCAUCAUCAUCAUCAUCAUCAUCAUCAUCAUCAUCACUGUUAUUUACAGAUCCGGGACUACCUUCAAUGAGCUUAGGUCACUCACAGGCUGUAUUUCUUAAGUGCCCAAGGUAUGUUGCCAUAUGAAAUGAAGAGCAGUCCUUAACCACCCCGUGAGGGUAAUCCUCCCUCACCAGAUCCUGAGCAGAUUACCCUCUGGAGGCCACAGAUGAACCUCUUAGCCUGCUACAGAUGCCUCCUUAGGGCACUUUGCUAGGAAAGGAUGGGGUAGGAUAUCAGGGUCUUCCCAGGGCCCUUCCCUAGAAAGAAAGAAAGUGUUGGGAAUCCUAACCUCACAAAUUUGGUAAGCAGAACUUCAAGUAGUUAUCCAUCUCAGAAAGAAUCUUUGACUAUAGACAAAGAAUUUUAACCGGAUGAACUUCUUAUAAAGAAUCUGGAACUUUCUAUUUCACUCA
Heterocephalus glaber (naked mole-rat) is the source of this 2412-nucleotide long non-coding RNA. RefSeq lists it as uncharacterized. NCBI's taxonomy places the organism in Eukaryota, Metazoa, Chordata, Mammalia, Rodentia, Bathyergidae. The record is from RefSeq and is a predicted model, not a curated record.